This is a long non-coding RNA of Cryptomeria japonica (Japanese cedar), 1321 nucleotides long. RefSeq lists it as uncharacterized. Lineage: Eukaryota; Viridiplantae; Streptophyta; Pinopsida; Cupressales; Cupressaceae. The transcript has 5 exons. The record is from RefSeq and is a predicted model, not a curated record.
AUGGAAAUCAAACAAAAGAGAUAACAAAAAAAAUGGAAAUGCCCGUGGUAACCAAAGAAACCCUUAGCAUUUGGGUGGGUCAUCGUGUCGGAGCCAUUAGCUGGAAGGCCGCCGGCGACAAAGAAUAUCGCCCAUAAAAGACUAGCCGUUGAGAGAAUGCUAACUACAAAGAAAAUUCAAAUGGGAGCGUGAAAAAGCAUUUGAAUUUCAAUAUAAAUAUAAACAAUUCAGUUUCAUUCUGUUACAGACAUUCUUUCUUUCUCUGAUUGCCCCUUUCUCUCGAUGUUCUGUUCUGUGAUUCUCCUUUUCUGUCAAUGUUCUGUUCUCUCUGUUUUCUUCAAAAAAUUUUAUAAAUGUUCUGUUCUGUUCUGUUCUCUCGAUGUUCUGUUCUGUGGUUCUCCUUUGCUUUGUUUUCAUUUUUCAUUUUUCUGGUUUUCAGCGUGCACGCUGGUCUGUCUGUCUUUUUUUUGGUAUUACAUUUUUCUGGCAGCGGGGGAAAGGUAGAGCAGAGGAAGAGGCAGAGCAACCGAGAGCAAAUUCUUCUUCCAGGCAUGAGAUGCAGAACCCAGCAAGUGUUCAUAUAACUGAUGCAGAGAGGAAGAAAUGGGAAGUUCCUUAUGACCUGCUUUGUUUAUAGCAAGUAGCUGCUCUAGAAGGAAACCAUAUUUUCAAAACAGCUAACCCAGUGUUUGAAUUCUCCGUGUUCUCAGGCAAUGAGUUAAUCUUCUCCUACACAGCUAACCCAUUUGGAUUUGCUAUCAAGUGCGGAUCCCAUGGAGAGGUUCUGUUCAACUCUUCAUAUGGUAGCUUUGUUUUCAGUAUCCGGUGAGCAGAUACAAAGUUGUUGAGGACUUGGAUGUGCUAUCUGUACCAUGACUGUAAUCCUGUGGUUGUGCAUGGAGAUGUGCACUAAUGUCACAUGGAAGCUCGGAUGUCUGAUUUUUCUUAGCCAGACUCAUGCAGAAGGAAGCCACCAUGUGCUCUAGCGCGUACAUUGUACUAGCCACAUGGAAGCUCAGAUGUCUGAUUUUGCUUAGCCAGAAUCAUGUAGAGGGAAGCCACCAUGUGCUCUAGCGCGUACAUUGCACCAGGGUGGCAGACAUGUAAAACAAGAUCCCUGAGUAGCUUUUUGAAUUAGUUAUUUUUCAUCAUGGUGUAUUCAAAACAGCAAGAGAUGGAAUUAGGCUUGCAUUAUUUUUUUAGUUAUGUUUUGGUCAAGCAUUUUGACUUGAUAGCAUUGUAACAUGUACAAAUACGAUGUUUAAUAAAAAAAUUAUUGGAUUGGAAGGGGUUAAAAACCCCUUCUAAAGACUUAAAUGAA